UGCCAAUGGCACUGCCCGGUAGCUAAAUGCGGAAGAGAUAAGUGCUGAAAGCAUCUAAGCACGAAACUUGCCCCGAGAUGAGUUCUCCCUGAGACUUAAAGUCUCCUGAAGGAACGUUGAAGACGACGACGUUGAUAGGCCGGGUGUGUAAGCGCAGCGAUGCGUUGAGCUAACCGGUACUAAUGAACCGUGAGGCUUAACCUUACAACGCCGAAG
RNAcentral lists this ribosomal RNA (216 nucleotides) under Salmonella enterica subsp. enterica serovar Infantis. RNAcentral describes it as "partial 23S ribosomal RNA". It matches the Rfam family "Bacterial large subunit ribosomal RNA", at positions 2727 to 2925 of the family's 2925-position model. The record is from RNAcentral. Lineage: Bacteria; Pseudomonadati; Pseudomonadota; Gammaproteobacteria; Enterobacterales; Enterobacteriaceae.